GGUUAAGCGACUAAGCGUACACGGUGGAUGCCCUGGCAGUCAGAGGCGAUGAAGGACGUGCUAAUCUGCGAAAAGCGCCGGCGAGGUGAUAUGAACCYUUGACCCGGCGAUGUCCGAAUGGGGAAACCCAGUGCAAUCCGUUGCACUAUCGUUARCUGAAUACAUAGGUUAACGAGGCGAACCGGGGGAACUGAAACAUCUAAGUACCCCGAGGAAAAGAAAUCAACCGAGAUUCCCCCAGUAGCGGCGAGCGAACGGGGAGCAGCCCGGAGUCUGAAUCAGCUUGUGUGUUAGUGGAACGGUCUGGAA
This 309-nucleotide ribosomal RNA is filed under the name Enterobacter hormaechei. Its description in RNAcentral is "partial 23S ribosomal RNA". Lineage: Bacteria; Pseudomonadati; Pseudomonadota; Gammaproteobacteria; Enterobacterales; Enterobacteriaceae. The record is from RNAcentral.